GACGAACGCUGGCGGCGUGCCUAAUACAUGCAAGUCGAACGCUGAAGGAGGAGCUUGCUUCUCUGGAUGAGUUGCGAACGGGUGAGUAACGCGUAGGUAACCUGCCUGGUAGCGGGGGAUAACUAUUGGAAACGAUAGCUAAUACCGCAUAAUAGUAGAUGUUGCAUGACAUUUACUUAAAAGGUGCAAUUGCAUCACUACCAGAUGGACCUGCGUUGUAUUAGCUAGUUGGUGGGGUAACGGCUCACCAAGGCGACGAUACAUAGCCGACCUGAGAGGGUGAUCGGACACACUGGGACUGAGACACGGCCCAGACUCCUAAGGGAGGCAGCAGUAGGGAAUCGUCGGCAAGGGACGAAAGUCUGACCGAGCAACGCCGCGGGAGGGAAGAAGGGUGUCGGAUCGUAAAGAUCGGUUGUAAGAGAAGAACGAGUGUGAGAGUGGAAAGUUAACACUGUGACGGUAGCUUACCAGAAAGGGACGGCUAACUACGUG
This 495-nucleotide ribosomal RNA is filed under the name uncultured bacterium. RNAcentral describes it as "partial 16S ribosomal RNA". It matches the Rfam family "Bacterial small subunit ribosomal RNA", at positions 28 to 507 of the family's 1533-position model. The record is from RNAcentral.